Molecule: unclassified non-coding RNA, 336 nt
Filed under: soil metagenome
Description: partial contains 5.8S ribosomal RNA, internal transcribed spacer 2, and large subunit ribosomal RNA
Rfam family: 5.8S ribosomal RNA (bases 1-120)
Source: RNAcentral
GAUGAAGAACGUAGCGAAAUGCGAUAAGUAAUGUGAAUUGCAGAAUUCAGUGAAUCAUCGAAUCUUUGAACGCACAUUGCGCCCCUUGGUAUUCCGGGGGGCAUGCCUGUUCGAGCGUCAUUUCAACCCUCAAGCUCUGCUUGGUAUUGGGCACCGUCCUUUGCGGGCGCGCCUCAAAGACCUCGGCGGUGGCGUCUUGCCUCAAGCGUAGUAGAAUACACCUCGCUUCGGAGCGUAAGGCGUCGCCCGCCGGACGAACCUUCUGAACUUUUCUCAAGGUUGACCUCGGAUCAGGUAGGGAUACCCGCUGAACUUAAGCAUAUCAAAAGCGGAGGA